This 620-nucleotide ribosomal RNA is filed under the name uncultured bacterium. Its description in RNAcentral is "bacterial SSU rRNA". It matches the Rfam family "Bacterial small subunit ribosomal RNA", at positions 104 to 742 of the family's 1533-position model. The record is from RNAcentral.
GGGUGAGUAACGCGUGGGUAACCUGCCUCACACAGGGGGAUAACAGUUAGAAAUGACUGCUAAUACCGCAUAAGCGCACGGUAUCGCAUGAUACAGUGUGAAAAGAUUUAUCGGUGUGAGAUGGACCCGCGUCUGAUUAGCCAGUUGGCAGGGUAACGGCCUACCAAAGCGACGAUCAGUAGCCGGCCUGAGAGGGUGAACGGCCACAUUGGGACUGAGACACGGCCCAAACUCCUACGGGAGGCAGCAGUGGGGGAUAUUGCACAAUGGGGGAAACCCUGAUGCAGCGACGCCGCGUGAGUGAUGAAGUAUUUCGGUAUGUAAAGCUCUAUCAGCAGGGAAGAAAAUGACGGUACCUGACUAAGAAGCCCCGGCUAACUACGUGCCAGCAGCCGCGGUAAUACGUAGGGGGCAAGCGUUAUCCGGAUUUACUGGGUGUAAAGGGAGCGUAGACGGCGAGUCAAGUCUGAUGUGAAAGGUGGGGGCUCAACCCCCAAACUGCAUUGGAAACUGGUUUGCUAGAGUGUCGGAGAGGUAAGUGGAAUUCCUAGUGUAGCGGUGAAAUGCGUAGAUAUUAGGAGGAACACCAGUGGCGAAGGCGGCUUACUGGACGAUCACUG